RNAcentral lists this ribosomal RNA (253 nucleotides) under uncultured bacterium. RNAcentral describes it as "partial 16S ribosomal RNA". It matches the Rfam family "Bacterial small subunit ribosomal RNA", at positions 524 to 776 of the family's 1533-position model. The record is from RNAcentral.
AACGUAGGAGGCAAGCGUUAUCCGGAGUUACUGGGCGUAAAGAGCGUGUAGGCGGGCUGGCAAGUCUGGUGUGAAAGCUCCCGGCUAAACUGGGAGAGUGCAUUGGAGACUGCCAAUCUAGAGGCUGUCAGAGGGUCGUGGAAUUCCGAGUGUAGAGGUGAAAUUCGUAGAUAUUCGGAAGAACACCAGUGGCGAAGGCGACUCACUGGACACGUAUUGACGCUGAGGUGCGAAAGCGUGGGGAGCAAACAGG